Molecule: ribosomal RNA, 253 nt
Filed under: uncultured bacterium
Lineage: Bacteria
Description: partial 16S ribosomal RNA
Rfam family: Bacterial small subunit ribosomal RNA
Source: RNAcentral
UACGAAGGGGGCUAGCGUUGUUCGGAAUCACUGGGCGUAAAUGGUGCGCAGGCGGAUUUUUAAGUCAGGGGUGAAAUCCCGAGGCUCAACCUCGGAACUGCCUUUGAUACUGGGGAUCUUGAGUCCGGAAGAGGUGAGUGGAACUGCGAGUGUAGAGGUGAAAUUCGUAGAUAUUCGGAAGAACACCAGUGGCGAAGGCGGCCCGCUGGACCGGCAUUGACGCUGAGGCGCGAAAGCUAGGGGAGCAAACAGG